This 832-nucleotide ribosomal RNA is filed under the name uncultured bacterium. RNAcentral describes it as "bacterial SSU rRNA". It matches the Rfam family "Bacterial small subunit ribosomal RNA", at positions 56 to 887 of the family's 1533-position model. The record is from RNAcentral.
UGCAAGCUGACGGCAAGAUUUGUAGCAAUACGAGUCCUAGAGUAGCGUAAGGGUGCGUAACACGUAUGCAAUCUACCCACAACAGGAGGAUAGCUCCCCGAAAGGGGAAUUAAGACUCCAUAAUAUCACGAGAGGGCAUCCAAUUGUGAUUAAAGUACAAGCGGUUGUGGAUGAGCAUGCGUCUGAUUAGUUAGUUGGUGCGGGUAACGGCCCACCAAGACGAUGAUCAGUAGGGGAACUGAGAGGUUGGUCCCCCACACUGGCACUGAGAUACGGGCCAGACUCCUACGGGGGGCAGCAGUAGGGAAUAUUGGACAAUGGGUGCAAGCCUGAUCCAGCCAUGCCGCGUGCAGGAAGAAGGCCUUCUGGGUCGUAAACUGCUUUUACCGGGGGAUAAAAUACUCUUGCGAGAGGAAUUGAAAGUACCUGGUGAAUAAGCCACGGCUAACUACGUGCCAGCAGCCGCGGUAAUACGUAGGUGGCAAGCGUUGUCCGGAUUUAUUGGGUUUAAAGGGUGCGUAGGCGGUUUUUUAAGUCAGUGGUGAAAUACGGCAGCUUAACUGUCGAGGUGCCAUUGAUACUGGGAAACUUGAGUACUGAUGAGGUAGGCGGAAUGGACGGUGUAGCGGUGAAAUGCUUAGAGAUCGUCCAGAACACCGAUAGCGAAGGCAGCUUACUAAGGAGUAACUGACGCUGAGGCACGAAAGUGUGGGGAUCAAACAGGAUUAGAUACYCUGGUAGUCCACACUGUAAACGAUGAUUACUCGAUGUUGGCGAUACACAGCCAGCGUCUUAGCAAAAGCGAUAAGUAAUCCACCUGGGGAGUACGCCG